CUGUAGAAGUUCAACUCUCGCAGGAGCUCGAGUGAAAUCCAGAAGACGAUCGACCGUCGUAGAAACUUAGAUGGAGUCUGGUUACUGUAGAAAUCUAGUUGUCUGAAAAGCUUGGAUAUUGAUGAAGUCCGGAAGAAGUUCGAAGUAGGGUCGUCCGUGGCCAGAAGAAGUCUGGAAGAGAUUCGGAGAAUAGUUGAUCACUGUAGA
RNAcentral lists this long non-coding RNA (207 nucleotides) under Elaeis guineensis (African oil palm). RNAcentral describes it as "long non-coding RNA (EGUI_LNC081174)". Lineage: Eukaryota; Viridiplantae; Streptophyta; Magnoliopsida; Arecales; Arecaceae. The record is from RNAcentral.